CCUUGGGUAACGAUCUUGGGAGGCUGUUUUAUAAUUUUCAAAGUUAAGUAUUUAUAUAUGUUACACUACGGUUAUUAAUCACAGUAGUGUCGAUAUUGUGCUGGUUUAAAUAAAGCUGUGGCCGAGAUACAGCAGCUGGUUUAAAUAAAGCUGUGGCCGUUGCCCUUACCUACUAACUAUGGUGUUGCAUUACUUAUUGGGAAUUUAAGGGUAACAGGAUUUGGCGAUUUAAGGAGUCAGCAGUCAAGCAAUAUUGUCUUAAAAGGAGGAGGAGUCUGCAUUCAGACUCUUUAUUGUGGAUCUAUUUUCCAAGACAGUUAACGUUUCACUCUACAGAGCAAAGCAUAACUAGCUGAAGAAAUACAAUUAAAGGGGAGAUGUCACUUCUAAAUUUACGCUUUUGAAUAUAAAAUAUAAAAUCACCUCUAACUUGUGUAAACCUGUUUUUCAUGAAAUGCUCUGUUUUCUUUUAAAUAUAUAAUAAAGAGUUAGCAAAUUACUUCAUAAUCCAAUUCAGACAAAGCCAGGGAUAACAUUACUUAUGUAGAGAAGAAAGCGAAACAUGGUUUCAGUAAUCCAGUUCUCUGUAUGUUCUGUCUCUGCUGACUGCUAUGUUUAUAUAUAAAAAAAAAGGUUAAUCCUAGCUGGACCAGGCACCCAGACCACUUUAUUAAGCUGAAGUGGUCUGGGUGCCUAUAGUGGUCCUUUAAGUGGCGGUCUGAGUUAACCGUCUGCCUAUGGUUGUUUGCAAUUGGCUGUAAAGUUUGUUAAAUUAACCAUCCUGCUCAAUGAAGCACUUCAGUUUGCCCAUGUGCUUUAGGGGUAAACUAGAGAUUUCCCAUGUUUUAUUUUACUUAAGUGCUGAUUUCAAGAGAAAUUGUCACUUUUAUAAAAGUCCUUAGUUACACCCUCCAGCUGUCAAUCAGAUAGCCAAUAGGUCUAAACGAUCAUUCAAAGAAGAAGGCGAUGCUCCUGACAUGCUCCUUAGGUUCCCAAUGCUUCUACAUGAUAAAGAUUGAAUUGGCCUGGAUACAGGGGCGUAUUAGCCGCGAGGCAAACAAGGCAUUUGCCUUGGGCGGCAUUUUUCAGGGGGCGGCAAAAAAUGCCGCCCCCCAAAUGCCCAGGGCAAAUGCCUAGUUAGCCUUGCGGCUAACUGACAUCCCGAGCGGGCGGGCGGCGCUGGCAGGCGGGCGGCUGGCGAGGGAGCACUUCCUAUGAGCUCUCUGCUCAGCUCCCUCGCGCGCCGCAGAGUGAAGCUGGGAGCCGGAAGAUGACGUCAUCUUCCGGCUCCCAGCCUCACUCUGCAGCCGGCGCGCGAGGGAGCUCGCCAGCCGCCCGCCUGCCAGCGCCGCCCGCCCGACCUGCAGCCACUGGACCACCAGGGAGAGAGACCCCCCCCAGCACUCCCAAAGGUAAGGAGGUUGGGGGGCGGAUUUAAAUAAAAAAAAAAAAAGUUAAUUUGUGUGUGUGUCUGACUGUGUUUGUGUGUUUGUGAGUGUGUGUGUUUGUGUCUGACUGUGUGUGUGUGACUGUGUGUGUGUUUGUGUCUGACUGUGUGUGUGUGACUGUGUGUGUGUUUGUGUCUGACUGUGUUUGUGUCUGUGUAUGUGUCUGUGUAUGUGUCUGACUGUGUGUCUGUGUAUGUGUCUGACUGUGUCUGUGUGUGUGUGUGUGUGUGUGUCUGACUGUGUGUGUGUCCGACUGUGUGUGUUUGUGUCUGUGUUUGUGAGUGUGUGUCUGACUGUGUAUGUGUGUGUUUGUGUCUGACUGUGUUUGUGUCUGUGUAUGUGUCUGACUGUGUGUGUGUGUGUCUGACUGUGUGUGUGUGUGUGUGUGUAUGUAUGUGUCUGACUGUGUGUGUUUGUGUCUGUGUUUGUGUGUUUGUGAGUGUGUGUGUCUGUGUGUGUGUGUUUGUGUCUGUGUGUCUGACUGUGUGUGUGUGUCUGACUGUGUGUGUGUGUGUUUGUGUCUGACUGUGUGUGUGUGUGUGUUUGUGUCUGACUGUGUUUGUCUGUGUAUGUGUCUGACUGUGUGUGUGUGUGUGUCUGACUGUGUGUGUGUGUUU
RNAcentral lists this long non-coding RNA (2065 nucleotides) under Pelobates cultripes (western spadefoot toad). The record is from RNAcentral. Lineage: Eukaryota; Metazoa; Chordata; Amphibia; Anura; Pelobatidae.